GACGACGCUGGCGGCGUGGAUUAGGCAUGCAAGUCGAACGGUAUCAUCCUUUCGGGGGUGAGAGAGUGGCGAACUGGUGAGUAACACGUAGUUAUCUACCCUCAAGACGGGGACAACCCAGGGAAACUUGGGCUAAUACCGGAUGUGAGCAACUUUUAGUUGUUUGAAAGGUGGCGUAAGCUGUCGCUUGGGGAUGAGCCUGCGUCCUAUUAGUUAGUUGGUGAGGUAACGGCUCACCUAGGCAAUGAUAGGUAGGCGGCCUUAACGGGUGGUCGCCCACACUGGGAUUGAGAUACGGCCCAGACUCCUACGGGAGGCAGCAGUCGAGAAUAGUCUACAAUGGUCGGAAGACUGAUAGUGCGACGCCGCGUGAACGAUGAAUCCCUUCGGGGUGUAAAGUUCUUUUAUAUGUGAGCAGUGCUUCUUAUAUUAACAGUAUGGGGAGAGAGAUAUUAGCAUAUGAAUAAGCAACGGCUAACUCCGUG
This 485-nucleotide ribosomal RNA is filed under the name uncultured bacterium. RNAcentral describes it as "bacterial SSU rRNA". It matches the Rfam family "Bacterial small subunit ribosomal RNA", at positions 33 to 507 of the family's 1533-position model. The record is from RNAcentral.